AACGAACGCUGGCGGCAGGCUUAACACAUGCAAGUCGAACGCACCUUUCGGGGUGAGUGGCAGACGGGUGAGUAACGCGUGGGAAUCUACCCUUCUCUACGGGAUAGCUCCGGGAAACUGGAAUUAAUACCGUAUACGUCCUGAGGGAGAAAGAUUUAUCGGGGAAGGAUGAGCCCGCGUUGGAUUAGCUAGUUGGUGGGGUAAAGGCCUACCAAGGCGACGAUCCAUAGCUGGUCUAAGAGGAUGAUCAGCCACAUUGGGACUGAGACACGGCCCAAACUCCUACGGGAGGCAGCAGUGGGGAAUAUUGGACAAUGGGCGCAAGCCUGAUCCAGCCAUGCCGCGUGAGUGAUGAAGGCCCUAGGGUUGUAAAGCUCUUUCAGUGGUGACGAUAAUGACGGUACCCACAGAAGAAGCCCCGGCUAACUUCGU
RNAcentral lists this ribosomal RNA (432 nucleotides) under uncultured bacterium. Its description in RNAcentral is "partial 16S ribosomal RNA". It matches the Rfam family "Bacterial small subunit ribosomal RNA", at positions 29 to 506 of the family's 1533-position model. The record is from RNAcentral.